CAGGCAUAAAACGAUGAAAAAACAGUAAUUGUCCAGACUUCAAAAGAUGACAAAAAUAAGAAUUGAUGCCAAAAAUAAAAAGAAAAAAGUAUAACGAACACCUGUAUCCGAAAAGUAAACAGAAACAAAACUUUGGCUGUUGAGGUUCAUUACAGAAAAAAUACAGAUAAGUCAGUCAUACAAGCAAACUUCGGUUGGCUAUGAGACACAUGAUCAACAAGAUAAAAGUGGUCUAAGACCAGCCCAAGGAAAUAAAUAUUAUCAACUCUGUAAAGGAAGUAGAGAAAUGGAUUGUCAUUCAUUAGAUCAAUAAUGCUGAAACAAAAGGCACAGACAUAAAAAGAUGAAAAAGCAGCGAUUGUCCAGAUUCCAAAAGAUAACCAUAUUAAUUGAUGCCAAAAAUAAAAAUAAAAAUGUAUAAUGAACACCUGUAUCCAAAAAGUAAACAGAAACAAAACCUUGGUGGUUGAGGUUCAUUACAGAGAAAGUACAGAUAAGUCAGUUAUAUAAGCAAACUACCAUCGGCUAUGAGACACGUGAUCAACAAGAUACAAGUGGUCUAAGACCAGCUCAAGAAAAUAAAUAUUAUAACUAUGUAAAGAAAGUAAAGAAAUGGACUGGCAUUCAUUAUAUCAAUAAUGCUGAAACAAAAGGCACAGGCAUAAAACGAUGAAGCAGUAAUUGUACAGACUUCAACAGAUGACAACCAUAAGAAUUGAUGCCAAAACUAAAAAAAAGAAGAAAAAAAAGUAUAAUCAACAAUUGUAUCUGGAAAAUAAGCAGAAACGAAACUUUGGUGGUUGAGGUUCAUUACAUAGAAACUACAGAUAAUCAGUUAUAUAAGCAAACUAUGGUCGGCUAUGAGACACAUGAUCAACAAGAUAAAAGUGGUCUAAGACCAGCCCAAGGAAAUAAAUAUUAUCCACUCUGUAAAAAAAAGUAAAGAAAUAGAUUGUCAUUCAUUAUAUCAAUAAUGUUGAAACAAAAGGCACAGGCAUAAAACAACGAAAAAGCAGUAAUUGUCAAGAUCUCAAAAGAUGACAACCAAAAGUAAACAGAAACAAAACUUCGGUGGUUUAGGUUCGUUACAGAGAAACUACAGUUAUAUAACCAAACUAUGGUCAGCCAUGAGACAUGUGAUCAACAAGAUAAAAGUGGUCUAAGACCAGCUCUGUCAUGACUAGGGCCUGAUGGGCUAACUGACCUAUCAACUUCGUUUGGUCUAAACCAUUGAUCAAAAUGCUUGAGCUGAAGUUGAUAGUAGUACACUCAUCAGACCCUUAUAAGCCAAUCUUAAUCUUGCCCACUUUCGAUGUGGGACUAAUCAGGGGUGUUACAAGCCCAAGGAAAAAAAAAGUUUAUCCAUUCUGUAAAUAAAGUAAAGAAAUGGAUUGCCAUUCAUUAGACCACUAAUGCUUAAACAAAAGGCACAGGCAUAAAUUAUUAUUAGAGAAACAGCAUGGCCCUAAAAACAAGAAUUCCCAUAUGUCAAGAAACAAACAAGGUAAUGAAUCAGAUACCAAAAGUAGAGUUCUACCCAUUAAAUAGGUCAAUCAAGAGGAGGGUAAUCAGGCAAUCUGACAACAGCAAGCACUUAUACGUAAAGUUAAAUGAAGGCUCAGUUGCGAAACAAUACAAUAAUAUCUUGAAGCUAAAAAGAGAGGUUAUUAAAGCAUUCAAGUAAAAUAAGGAAACACAGCUAUACCAAACAUAGAGUACACAUGUAACACAAUUUUUUUCAAGUGUCACUUGGCACACCAGACUUCACCUAGGGAAAGAGGACUAACACAGAGGGUGAAAAGGCGCACAAGACACCAUGGCCAGGAUUUAAAUCCUUGACCUAAGAUAAGGGACUUUGUAUACACACAGCCAGCAGGGACGUUGUUGGUUGGGCAUAGGAACACAUAACUUUACUGACAUAAAUCUGUACAGAUUUUUGUAUCUAACUUGUCUUAAAGUGGGUGGACUGGUAAGUUUGAAUUCUGGAGGUAUCAGUUACCAACCUACAAGUUGAUUUAUAUAGGUCUGCUACCAUUUGAAACUGGUAGGCACUAGGAAAAAGAAAAUGAAACUGUCCUCAAAACAAACAAGCAUUUAAACCAUUUUACAGCAUAGCUUCCUCCACCAGAACUAUUCUUAUGACACUAACCAUCCAUUAUUUGGUUCCAUAAAAUUUAAUUGCCUAUAGUCGCUUUAUGAUCUUUUCCUAUCAGUCAGAAGAAGAUUAGAAUUAAGAAUGUUGUUUUCUCUAUUUAUAGAUUUUAAGCAUAGAAAUUUUAUUCUUUAUAUAACUUGUCUUGUCUAUUUUAACUACUAAAGCUAUGCAUUCAGAUUCAAGCCAAUUUCAAACUUGUAGUAAUGGUAAUGCAAAGUAUAUACCGGUACUAAUUUCAGAACCCUCGGCUUCUGAAUAUUGUCUCCACUGUAGAAACUUGGAACUUAUUUCUGGUCUAUUUUCAUUAACAAGAAGAAAAGUAUCAUUGAUACAUAAUGUCAACACAAAACUUCCAAGUCCAUCCAUCACAAGUGCGCAUAUGCAGUGGUAAUGCAGACUCAGCAUAAAUUAUAUUCGUCCUUACACUUCAUAAACUAGUGACUGCCCGGACAUAAAAUCCUUGACUUUUAUCAAAAUACAAAAUAGGGGGUCCUCUCCUUUCGUAACCAACCACCAACAAUUGAUGUUAGUAAAUAAACAACACGAUUGAUCUUGGCAUAGAGGCAGAGCUGUUUCAAGAAAAUACUUUGACUGAUCUUGGCAUUGAUUAUGCAUAAAGACGGCCACAUAAAGUACCCACGAGAUUGCUCACCAGCUCUUUU
This 2817-nucleotide long non-coding RNA is filed under the name Musa acuminata (dwarf banana). RNAcentral describes it as "long non-coding RNA (MACU_LNC001206)". The record is from RNAcentral. Lineage: Eukaryota; Viridiplantae; Streptophyta; Magnoliopsida; Zingiberales; Musaceae.